RNAcentral lists this ribosomal RNA (199 nucleotides) under uncultured bacterium. RNAcentral describes it as "partial 16S ribosomal RNA". It matches the Rfam family "Bacterial small subunit ribosomal RNA", at positions 1301 to 1500 of the family's 1533-position model. The record is from RNAcentral.
UAGUCUGCAACCCGACUACAUGAAGCUGGAAUCGCUAGUAAUCGCGAAUCAGAAUGUCGCGGUGAAUACGUUCCCGGGUCUUGUACACACCGCCCGUCACACCAUGGGAGUCGGAAAUGCCCGAAGUCAGUGACCUAACCGAAAGGGAGGAGCUGCCGAAGGUGGAGCCGGUAACUGGGUGAAGUCGUAACAAGGUAUC